AGCAGUCGCCGCGGGAAUACGUAGGUGGCAAGCGUUGUCCGGAAUCAUUGGGCGUAAAGCGCGCGCAGGUGGUUUAAUAAGUCUGAUGUGAAAGCCCACGGCUCAACCGUGGAGGGUCAUUGGAAACUGUUAAACUUGAGUGCAGGAGAGAAAAGUGGAAUUCCUAGUGUAGCGGUGAAAUGCGUAGAGAUUAGGAGGAACACAGUGGCGAAGGCGGCUUUUUGGCCUGUAACUGACACUGAGGCGCGAAAGCGUGGGGAGCAAACAGGAUUAGAUACCCCUGUAGUCCCUGUCUCUUAUACA
Molecule: ribosomal RNA, 303 nt
Filed under: uncultured bacterium
Lineage: Bacteria
Description: partial 16S ribosomal RNA
Rfam family: Bacterial small subunit ribosomal RNA
Source: RNAcentral